GGUUAAGCGACUAAGCGUACACGGUGGAUGCCCUGGCAGUCAGAGGCGAUGAAGGACGUGCUAAUCUGCGAUAAGCGUCGGUAAGGUGAUAUGAACCGUUAUAACCGGCGAUUUCCGAAUGGGGAAACCCAGUGUGUUUCGACACACUAUCAUUAACUGAAUCCAUAGGUUAAUGAGGCGAACCGGGGGAACUGAAACAUCUAAGUACCCCGAGGAAAAGAAAUCAACCGAGAUUCCCCCAGUAGCGGCGAGCGAACGGGGAGCAGCCCAGAGCCUGAAUCAGUGUGUGUGUUAGUGGAAGCGUCUGGAAAGGCGCGCGAUACAGGGUGACAGCCCCGUACACAAAAAUGCACAUGCUGUGAGCUCGAUGAGUAGGGCGGGACACGUGGUAUCCUGUCUGAAUAUGGGGGGACCAUCCUCCAAGGCUAAAUACUCCUGACUGACCGAUAGUGAACCAGUACCGUGAGGGAAAGGCGAAAAGAACCCCGGCGAGGGGAGUGAAAAAGAACCUGAAACCGUGUACGUACAAGCAGUGGGAGCACGCUUAGGCGUGUGACUGCGUACCUUUUGUAUAAUGGGUCAGCGACUUAUAUUCUGUAGCAAGGUUAACCGAAUAGGGGAGCCGAAGGGAAACCGAGUCUUAACUGGGCGUUAAGUUGCAGGGUAUAGACCCGAAACCCGGUGAUCUAGCCAUGGGCAGGUUGAAGGUUGGGUAACACUAACUGGAGGACCGAACCGACUAAUGUUGAAAAAUUAGCGGAUGACUUGUGGCUGGGGGUGAAAGGCCAAUCAAACCGGGAGAUAGCUGGUUCUCCCCGAAAGCUAUUUAGGUAGCGCCUCGUGAAUUCAUCUCCGGGGGUAGAGCACUGUUUCGGCAAGGGGGUCAUCCCGACUUACCAACCCGAUGCAAACUGCGAAUACCGGAGAAUGUUAUCACGGGAGACACACGGCGGGUGCUAACGUCCGUCGUGAAGAGGGAAACAACCCAGACCGCCAGCUAAGGUCCCAAAGUCAUGGUUAAGUGGGAAACGAUGUGGGAAGGCCCAGACAGCCAGGAUGUUGGCUUAGAAGCAGCCAUCAUUUAAAGAAAGCGUAAUAGCUCACUGGUCGAGUCGGCCUGCGCGGAAGAUGUAACGGGGCUAAACCAUGCACCGAAGCUGCGGCAGCGACGCUGAUGCGUUGUUGGGUA
RNAcentral lists this ribosomal RNA (1189 nucleotides) under Escherichia coli. Its description in RNAcentral is "partial 23S ribosomal RNA". It matches the Rfam family "Bacterial large subunit ribosomal RNA", at positions 1 to 1230 of the family's 2925-position model. The record is from RNAcentral. Lineage: Bacteria; Pseudomonadati; Pseudomonadota; Gammaproteobacteria; Enterobacterales; Enterobacteriaceae.